GACGAACGCUGGCGGCGUGCUUAACACAUGCAAGUCGAACGGAAAGGCCCUGCUUUUGUGGGGUGCUCGAGUGGCGAACGGGUGAGUAACACGUGAGUAACCUGCCCUUGACUUUGGGAUAACUUCAGGAAACUGGGGCUAAUACCGGAUAGGAGCUCCUGCUGCAUGGUGGGGGUUGGAAAGUUUCGGCGGUUGGGGAUGGACUCGCGGCUUAUCAGCUUGUUGGUGGGGUAGUGGCUUACCAAGGCUUUGACGGGUAGCCGGCCUGAGAGGGUGACCGGCCACAUUGGGACUGCGAGACGGCCCAGACUCCUACGGGAGGCAGCAGGGGGGAAUAUUGCACAAUGGGCGGAAGCCUGAUGCAGCAACGCCGCGGGCGGGAUGACGGCCUUCGGGUUGUAAACCGCUUUCGCCUGUGACGAAGCGUGAGUGACGGUAAUGGGUAAAGAAGCACCGGCUAACUACGUG
RNAcentral lists this ribosomal RNA (468 nucleotides) under uncultured bacterium. RNAcentral describes it as "partial 16S ribosomal RNA". It matches the Rfam family "Bacterial small subunit ribosomal RNA", at positions 28 to 507 of the family's 1533-position model. The record is from RNAcentral.